RNAcentral lists this long non-coding RNA (903 nucleotides) under Equus caballus (horse). Its description in RNAcentral is "lncRNA (ENSECAG00000055348.1)". The record is from RNAcentral. Lineage: Eukaryota; Metazoa; Chordata; Mammalia; Perissodactyla; Equidae.
AGUAUGACUGGUGUCUUUAUAGGAAGAGGACGAGACCCCAGGGACACACGUGCACAGAGAAAAGGCCAUGGGAGGAUACAGCAAGAAGGCAGCCAUUCGCAUUUCAGAGAGACUCAGAAGAAACCAGCUCUGCCCACACCUUGAUCUCAGCCUUCCAGCCUCCAGGACUUUGAGAAGCUCUGCUCACAAACAACGACCCCAGGCCUCCCUCCAGACCCUGAGACCACAGCCCUCUGUAGACUUCCUCCCAGCUUCUCCUUUGCUGCGCCAUCACGGCAGCAGGCUCCCACCACAAAGACCUGCCACAGCUCCAGCCUCCACUGGAUGACUCCACUCUGGACCCAGAUGAUUAGUUUCACAUGAAAUUGUAAGAAGGAAUACAGAGAGCAGCCACGUACGCUUUCCCUAGUUUCCUGAAAUGGUAACAUUUUGCAAAAUUCCGGUGGACUAUCACAACCAGGUUCUUGACGUUGAUGCAGUCCACAGGCUUUAUCCCGAUUGGCCCAGUUGUACUUGGACUCCUUUGUAUGUGUGCCUGUGUAUUUGGUUCUUUGCAAUCUCAUCUGUGUAGGUUAGCAUUCCCUCUGCCCCUCCACCCCACAGUGGAGAUAAAGAACAAUUCCAUCCCCACAAGGAUCCAUCCAAUUGCUUUUUUAUAACCCCGCCUACCUCCCUCUCAACUCACUCAUUCUCUCUCCUCCCUAACCCCUGGCAACCUCUAACCUGUUCUCCGUUCUAUAAUUUUGUCAUUUCAAGAAGGUUAUGCACCAUUUGGAUUGGCUUUUGUCACUCAGCAUAAUUCUCUGGGAUUCCUCCAGCUGUUGCCUGUAUCAAUAGUUUGUUUCUUCUUAUUACUAAGUGGUACGCGAUGGCAUGGAUGUAUCACAGUCUGUUUAACUAUUU